This 861-nucleotide ribosomal RNA is filed under the name uncultured zygomycete. RNAcentral describes it as "eukaryotic LSU rRNA". It matches the Rfam family "Eukaryotic large subunit ribosomal RNA", at positions 1 to 777 of the family's 3401-position model. Lineage: Eukaryota; Fungi. The record is from RNAcentral.
AUUUUGAUCUGAAAUCAGGUAGGAUUACCCGCUGAACUUAAGCAUAUCAAAUAAGCAGAGGAAAAAGAAACUAACAAGGAUUCCCUCAGUAACGGCGAGUGAAGCGGGAAGAGCUCAAAUUUAAAAUCUGGUUUACUUGUAAAUCCGAGUUGUAGUCUGAAGAAACGUUUUCCAUAAGCACUGAGGCAAAAGUCCCUUGGAACAGGGCAUCAUAGAGGGUGAGAAUCCCGUCCAUGGUCUCAAGUUGUUUAUUUUGUGAUACGUUUUCAAAGAGUCAGGUUGUUUGGGAAUGCAGCCUAAAAUGGGUGGUAAAUUUCAUCUAAAGCUAAAUAUUGGCGAGAGACCGAUAGCGAACAAGUACCGUGAGGGAAAGAUGAAAAGAACUUUGAAAAGAGAGUUAAACAGUACGUGAAAUUGUUGAAAGGGAACCGUUUGAAGCCAGUCUUACUUGCUCGUGAUCAAUUUUUGCUUCGGCAUGAAUGCACUCUCGGGUAUGGUAGGCCAACGACAGUUUAGAAUGCGAGAAAAAAAUAGGGGAAAUGUGGCCUUCGGGUGUUAUAGUCCCUUAUAAAAUAUCGUGUUCUGGACUGAGGAUCGCAGCAAAAAUGUGGGCAGGUGGAUUUCUGUGGUAACUGUUGGUUAGGACAACUUGUUGACCUAGUCUUCCUUAGCCUCACUAUUUACCUUGCUUCUAAUUUGCUUAGGUCGUUGGCAUAAUGGCUUUAAAUGACCCGUCUUGAAACACGGACCAAGGAGUCUAACAUAUAUGCGAGUAUUUGGGUGGCAAACCCAUAUGCGCAAUGAAAGUGAAAUUAGGUGCCAAAACCUUCACGGGUGGCAGCAUCGGGCCGGCUCUGACGU